ACGAUGGACUCCAAUGACUUCAGCUUGCCUUUGGGCAGUCUAUUCUUUGAGAAACCCAUUGUCCAUAAAGUAAAGCCACUGCACCAGGAGGCCAGCGCAUGGCUGCUGGAGCCGCCGCCUUCGUUUACUGAGAUUCCAGCCACUCAAGAACUCCAGGAAGAGGCAGAGUCUCUCACCACUCUGUACAGCAGAGGUGGACAAUUUCUAUCACAGCAGGGACAACAGAAAUAUUUUUCACAAAGAUCUGAUGAAGCUCUGUGUACAUCAGAUGUCAACAAUGAUGACGACAUCGAUGGGACUCGUAGUGGGAGCCACGGUAGCAGAUUAAAACAAGGCUUCUGGAGGGGCAGAGGUGCAGAUGAAACACCGCCAGACUCUGGUCAUCGAAUAAACCCGUCGAAGAGGAGAAGGCAAGUGUCUGUUGUUAGCUUAGAGAUCUUUAUUGUCAUGACAACAGCAGAUCAACACUAAGGCUGGGCAAUAUAUUGUG
RNAcentral lists this long non-coding RNA (490 nucleotides) under Gouania willdenowi (blunt-snouted clingfish). Its description in RNAcentral is "lncRNA (ENSGWIG00000009652.1)". The record is from RNAcentral. Lineage: Eukaryota; Metazoa; Chordata; Actinopteri; Blenniiformes; Gobiesocidae.